GAAAGCCGUGGAUUUCUUACCUUAAUUUCAAAUUACAUGCAUAAUAUAAUUAAUAUAAACACCGGUCGACGCGGUAACUACAAAAUCGGACGCGAGGAAAAAUGGGGGCGCGCUGUGAUAGGAAUAAAAAAAACAUGAAGCAAACAAAAAGAAAUGUGGAAAAUGUGAAAAAAUGGGAAAAAAAAGGUGAUUUGGGUAUCGACGAAUGGAACGAGUAAAGAAACCAACAUUUUUAACCGAUACUGGAUGUAUGGAACAAUUUCAUAGUGUAGGAAAUCUUGGCUCGAUGGAAUAAAUAAUUUUGGAUUAUUGUACUGAUGGAAGUGCUUGUUCUACAAUACGAAAAAGUAAAAAGCACAAGAGCUCCCAAAAAGCUGUGAAUUUUUCUGCAGAUACCACCAAUUUUUCCCCAGAGCGAAGAAUUAAGAAGCCCAAGGGCUCCCAAAGUAAAAUUAGCGUUAGCGUUGUACACUUAAAACAAGAGUUGGAAGAUUGACAUUGAUUUGCUUGCGAGAGUGUUGACAGCAAUUUACAAUUUAAUAACUUUCAUUAAAUUAUCUUAGUUAUAAUUGUACCUUACAUAAUCUAAAGGUACGUUUCCUCAUCUUCCAUCAUUGUUAGAAUUAAAAAAAAAACUAAUUGAGCUUAAGCCCGAAAAUGGUCUUUGUCCGCUAAGAAAAAAAUACAUGUAACCAUCCAAAGAAAAGCUAUUUGAAAAUAGUCUAGCGUUUAGGUUCUGCUAAUAAAGGUCUUGUGUGAAUAUUUACUCCGAUGAAGAAGAAUGAAGGAAAUUUGUUAAACGAACUAUUCUAUUCUAUCUUCUUUCUAUUCGUCUGUUGAAAUGCGGUUAAUAUGGGUCGACUAUAAUUUAAUUUUUCUAGAUGUGAUUGUAUUCGGUUUAUCGGUUAGUUCUACAUGCAGAUUUUGGAACUUAGAUGAUAGAAGAGCAAAAGCGACCAAGUCAAGUAUACCCUCAAAACCAUCCUUUGAUCGCAGCCAAAAGCUACAAUACGAUCGCUCAGAUUCACUGCCGGCGGGUUCUUUGCGUACUGUUAUCAUACCACAAAACAACAGAGGUGUUUCUUAAAAUACAGAGACUUGUAGUAUAUUGGCCCGUCUAUUGUGUUACUCUAUGCAGUGUAAAGCUACUAAGAAUAACGAAGCUCACAUGCUCCAAUUUCCGCACUGCUAGAUUAUUGCCAAAUAUAUCUGGCACAAUAAACUUAAUGCAAUUAAAGCAUAUUUUUGUGAGAAAAGCUUUAAAACAUUUAAAUUUUAUUCCCAUUACUUAAGUUUAACCGCGGCUCUAAGUUUUGCCGAACGACUGCAACUGUAGCGCUUUAUUUCUUCUUCGCCGGGAUAAAUAACAUGUCUAUGUAGUUGUUUCCGAUUGCUCGAAUUAAUUGAUUGCAUUAUCUCCCCAUCAUGGACAACAUCAUACCCGCAAUAUUUUACUGGAUUUACUAAGCCGUCAAUGACAUUCCCGUAAAGAUGACGUUUAACUAUAAUCAUUUGCCAGGACCAUGCCGUAGUUAAUUUCAUUUAACUCACUGUUAACGAAGAUACGUAAAGAUUGAGCCGUUUUAGUGGCCACAUGUGUGGGUCGCUGUAAUUUAUCUAAACGAAAAGGAGUGUCAUGCAGGCAACUGGCUACCAAGUCGGCUAAUUGUUUAGUAGUUUCUAUAGGGUGUAGAGCCGAGCGUGUGUGAACAAUGGCGCGAGCUAUAUUCUUAGCAAUGCAAUGCGUCAAUUACGUUUCGUGUCCUAUACCGCCAGUUUACCAAAUUUCAAGAAAAAGUCUCUUGAAUUAAGGGCUAUGGGGUGAAAAGGUGGAACCAAGACGGGCAGUCAGAAAAUGAGCUUGAAUCGAUCGUUGGUCUAUCUCAGGUCCUUCUGAGUUUUAUGCCCUUAUACCGCACGUGGUAUGGGUAUUAGCAUGCGCAUAGUUUGCUGAAUAUGUUGUUGAUGUUACUGUUGACCAGAUGUAUACCGCAUUAAUGGCUUCACGAUCGCGUUGGCUCAGACGGGGGAUUGGCUAGUUGUACUAAUAAGCCAUGUUUAGAAAUUUCACCUAAAUUAAAAACAUUUAUUUGCUUAUUCGUCGACGCAUUACUUACACACCUAGCUUACGUCUGUAGGUCUAAAAUAUUAUUAUUAUUAUUAUUUUAAUUUUAGA
This is a long non-coding RNA of Glossina fuscipes, 2176 nucleotides long. RefSeq lists it as uncharacterized. The record is from RefSeq and is a predicted model, not a curated record. The transcript has 3 exons. Lineage: Eukaryota; Metazoa; Arthropoda; Insecta; Diptera; Glossinidae.